This 244-nucleotide ribosomal RNA is filed under the name uncultured bacterium. Its description in RNAcentral is "partial 16S ribosomal RNA". The record is from RNAcentral.
CGCCUCCCUCCGCCGCCACUCACGACUACCGUACGGGACGGACGAGCGAGGUAGGGGUAAGUUUUAGGGUAACGUAAGUACGGGGGACCGAACCCGUACGACUCCACGCCAUGCCGCGUGAGUGAAGAGCGUCGGUUGUAAGCUCUUCAGCGGGACGAAACGGACAUCCGCGAAUAACGGGUGUUAAGUGAUGGUACCGAAGAAGAAGCACCGGCUAACUACGUGCCAGCAGCCGCGGUAAUUC